CCAAUACUUUCUGUCUCUCUUUUGUUCCUUAAUCCUCACACCCCCUUUCAGGACCGUUCGACUCGUCGGCAGGCUCCGACAGUCCCACAUCUAUAAUGGCUCCGCUAAAGAAGCAAUGAGGGAACGAAACUCUGAAGUUAUGGGGAAAAUGAAAUGAGAGGUGUAGUCAAGAUUUAAGCUUUCACUUGCUGGAUUUCAGAAAUGAAGAAGCUACUCCCAAGGAUAUCAGGCUAUAGAAAGCAACCCUGCAGGACAGAGUCGAGCUCCCCCAAGACUUUCAGAGAUGGUAAAGCUUUGCAGAAGUAGACAGCCUCAUCGUUCUCCCAUGGAGUAGUUGGUGGGCUUGAACCACCAAUCUGGCUCUUAACCACCCGAUACUUAGCCCACUGUGCACCCACAGUAUAUACAAAUACACAGGGAAAGCAAUUCCAUUUUCAUAAAUUAACAAAAUACAACAAUUACCUAAGGAGAAUAAACCAUAGCAAUCAUAAUUAAACAUGACAGAAUACCUGGGCUAUUAAACCCAUGGAUUUCCUUUCAUUUUCAUUUAAAAAAGGGCAAAAGCAAAAUAUAGCUCUAAUUCUUCAUCUGAUACUGAAAAGUCUGCUGCAAACAUGCCUACCACAACCAUCAGUGAAUCUUAACUCGGAAGACCCUCCUCUGAGGAAGAAGGGCAGUCAACUUUCUCCCCCCUCCGGGCACUCAUUAAAAGUGAAAACCUUAAAAAGAUUUAGGCUCUACUAUUUAAACUAACAGUGUAGCUAUUAAUGCUGAUUCUCCAGUCAUACAUAAGUACUGCUAAGUCUUAUCUGAAUGCUUUUCCACGACCACCGUGCAAUAAACUAAGCACGUUUCGGUGUGACGACCUUAGCAUCCCUUUAGUUACACUUACCGACAUCCUCCCAAGACACAGCGCGAAGCAGGAAAGCAGCUUUUCUCUCUGUGAUUCAAAUACAAGCUGUCUCUUUUCUGAUUUCAAAAGCAAUCGAUGCUUUUCUGGGGGUGGGAGCGGGAAGAAGGUCAAAUGAUGCUAAAUGAAAAAGCAGAAUGAAAAAGUAUGUAUGUUUCUACUUUGCAAAACUCGCUAUUUAUUAAAUGUCUACCAUGUGUUAUUCACAUACAGCUAGAGAUGAGCUACCCGGUAAACAAGGUAAUGUCUUGCUUAGGGCAGCAACACACCCAGGGUCACCAAUUGUCCAAAGACCAUAGAUGCUUAAGUAGACAGGGCACAAGGAAAUGGCGAACCCUAGGGGAAGGGAACUGAUGGGGCAUGAAAUGAAAUUGAUACCAUUGUAUACAUUUUGUACAUGAGAGCGAUGACAUUUUCAUUUUGAUUUUGGACUUAUAGGGUCUUGCCUUACAUUUAGUUCUGUCUUGUUGACCCAAUAAAACAGAAUUACAAUACUAUACUCAGUUCCUGACAUAGCUGGUACUAUAUGAAGUGAAUCAAAACGUGGCUUCAGAUUAAAUAUAUUCUGUUAUUUAUAUCAUACUCCUUAAAACCACUCUCAUCGCUAGGAGGUGUCAGCAGUCGCCCAAUGAACUGUGAGGACUCAGCAGCAAAGGAAGGAAAGGGAGUGAGGAGUGGUUGUGUUUUUUUCAAACAAUGAAGAGCAUUCAUGGAGAUCUGUGAAGGGUCCACAAACAAGCACUUUAUGAAAAAUAAAGAAUGAUCCUGCUUGA
Molecule: long non-coding RNA, 1683 nt
Organism: Echinops telfairi (small Madagascar hedgehog)
Lineage: Eukaryota; Metazoa; Chordata; Mammalia; Afrosoricida; Tenrecidae
Exons: 2
Source: RefSeq, a predicted model, not a curated record